Molecule: long non-coding RNA, 203 nt
Filed under: Brassica napus (rape)
Lineage: Eukaryota; Viridiplantae; Streptophyta; Magnoliopsida; Brassicales; Brassicaceae
Description: long non-coding RNA (BNAP_LNC010457)
Source: RNAcentral
GACUCUUGUUCAGUCUAUCACAAAUCUAAGUGUCUAGACUUGGAUCCACCUCCAGAAAUUUCCACUUUCCAUGAAGCUUACGUUCACCCCAUGUUUUAAUAUCUUUAAUUAUGUAUUCUGUUUAGACUAUUUCAUGUUAUUAUCUUUGUGAACCUAUCUUUGUUAUUUGAUUUGGAUGUUAACUUUUAUUUGGUAUAUUAAUG